GUGUGGGAGCCAGGAUCUUGAAACACAACUCAAGCUUUAUGGUACGGAGGCCAAAGAACUCAAGGCCUCAACUGCAGAAAUUCAAAGAACAUACUUGUUGGAAGAUUAAACAGAGAAGAAAGGAAGGAAGAGUUAAAAAAGAAUAAAAAUAAACACUAAGUUGUCUACUCCC
This is a long non-coding RNA of Magnolia sinica, 172 nucleotides long. RefSeq lists it as uncharacterized. NCBI's taxonomy places the organism in Eukaryota, Viridiplantae, Streptophyta, Magnoliopsida, Magnoliales, Magnoliaceae. The record is from RefSeq and is a predicted model, not a curated record. The transcript is spliced from 3 exons.